RNAcentral lists this ribosomal RNA (441 nucleotides) under uncultured bacterium. RNAcentral describes it as "partial 16S ribosomal RNA". It matches the Rfam family "Bacterial small subunit ribosomal RNA", at positions 338 to 795 of the family's 1533-position model. The record is from RNAcentral.
CCUACGGGAGGCUGCAGUGGGGAAUAUUGCACAAUGGGGGAAACCCUGAUGCAGCAACGCCGCGUGAAGGAAGACGGUUUUCGGAUUGUUAACCUCUUUUCUUAGUGAAGAAUAAUGACGGUAGCUAAGGAGCAAGCCACGGCUAACUACGUGACAGCAGCCGCGCUAAUACGUAGGUGGCAAGCGUUUUCCGGAAUUACUGGGUGUAAAGGGAGCGCAGGCGGGAAGCCAAGUCAGCUGUGAAAACUACGGGCUUAACUUGUAGACUGCAGUUGAAACUGGUUUGCUUGAGUGAAGUAGAGGUAGGCGGAAGGCGGGGUGUAGCGGUGAAAUGCGUAGAUAUUCGGAGGAACACCGAUGGCGAAGGCAGCCUACUGGGCUUUAACUGACGCUGAGGCUCGAAAGCGUGGGGAGCAAACAGGAUUAGAUACCCCUGUAGUC